CUGCACCUUCGCUGGGCAGGGGCAUGAGCAGGGGCUCCCUGAGGGCACACCCCUGCUCUGCUCCACUCCCGCUCCCUCCGGGGCCGACAGGCUUUGCUAUGUCACUUUGAUUUGGAGGAAAUUGGAGUGAAAUAAAAGCCAGUAGCUAACUGCUCCCCAAAGUACUGAAAAACUGUAGUGUAAAGUAAGCAGAAAUGAUUCAGGGGAUUUCUCUGCAGAGGACUUUAAAGGACUGCUUGGAACAUCAUGAACAUGCAGUAGCUAUUCCCUGCUUUUCCUGUUGAGAAAUAGUAUUAUUGAAGAAAGUAAAACAAAUAAGAUUAGAGACAGAAGUUAGUGUUUGUUGCUGUGGUGUCUGAUGAGUGCCCUAUUGAUCUGUAAGAUAAAGGCUGAUGUAUGACAAAAUACCCCAUGGGCCAUGUGUUGCUAUUCAUGUGCAAGUAGAGUAACCAAUUAAAAAUCAUUUCCCCUGUGAGUGGUCAUCUGGUACUGCUGUAAUACUGAAUUUUCUGGAAGCAGCUAGGGUUAGGAAGGUAGAUGUUCAGGCCAGGACAAGAGGAGAUACCUACAUCCUGGCUAAAGUAUAGAAUUUGUACAUUUGACUUUGACAUUUACAACCCCUUUCUAAAAUAUGUGGGAGAGCUGUUCUUAGGAAAUGAGUUACUGAUGGCUGUGAAAGAGCCUUAACCUUGUGAUUAUGG
Molecule: long non-coding RNA, 701 nt
Organism: Neopsephotus bourkii (Bourke's parrot)
Lineage: Eukaryota; Metazoa; Chordata; Aves; Psittaciformes; Psittacidae
Exons: 4
Source: RefSeq, a predicted model, not a curated record